ACCACUACCAUCGUUAUUAUCGAGGGUGUGACGGAGAAGGAUAGUGUGUGCUAGCGAUUGGAAAUGCUAGUCUAAGCGUUUAGGGAGUUACGGUAGGCAAAUCCGCUGUAACAAUUCUGAGGCGUGAUGGGGAAGGUCAUUAAGACCGAAGCACAUGAUUCCAUGCUUCCAAGAAAAGCAUCUAGAGAGAGAAGUAGUGCCCGUACCGCAAACCGACACAGCUAGAUGAGGAGAGAAUCCUAAGGCCGGCGGAAGAAUUGCAGUUAAGGAACUAGGCAAAUUGACCCCGUAAGUUCGCGAGAAGGGGUGCCUGCGAGAGCAGGCCGCAGAGAAUAGGCCCAAGCAACUGUUUAGCAAAAACACAGGUCUCUGCUAAAGCGUAAGCUGAUGUAUAGGGGCUGACGCCUGCCCGGUGCUGGAAGGUUAAGGGGAACACUUAGCGCAAGCGAAGGUGUGAACUUAAGCCCCAGUAAACGGCGGCCGUAACGAUAACGGUCCUAAGGUAGCGGAAUUCCUUGUCAGGUAAGUUCUGACCCGCACGAAUGGCGUAAUGACUUGGGCACUGUCUCAACUGCAAAUCCGGCGAAGUUGUAGUGCGAGUGAAGAUGCUCGCUACCCGCGAUUGGACGGAAAGACCCCGUAGAGCUUUACUGUAGCUUAGCAUUGAAUUCCGGUAUUGUCUGUACAGGAUAGGUGGGAGACUGGGAAGCUAGGGCGUCAGCCUUAGUGAGUCAACCUUGGGAUACCACCCUGACAGUACUGGGGUUCUAACAGGACGCCAUGAAGCUGGUGACUGGACAUUGUUAGGUGGGCAGUUUGACUGGGGCGGUCGCCUCCUAAAAAGUAACGGAGGCGCCCAAAGGUUCCCUCAGAACGGUCGGAAAUCGUUCGUAGAGUGCAAAGGCAGAAGGGAGCCUGACUGCGAGACCCACAAGUCGAGCAGGGACGAAAGUCGGGCUUAGUGAUCCGGUGGUACCUCGUGGGAGGGCCAUCGCUCAACGGAUAAAAGCUACCUCGGGGAUAACAGGCUGAUCUCCCCCAAGAGUCCACAUCGACGGGGAGGUUUGGCACCUCGAUGUCGGCUCGUCGCAUCCUGGGGCUGUAGUAGGUCCCAAGGGUUGGGCUGUUCGCCCAUUAAAGCGGCACGCGAGCUGGGUUCAGAACGUCGUGAGACAGUUCGGUCCCUAUCCGUCGCGGGCGUAGGAAAUUUGAGAGGAGCUGUCCUUAGUACGAGAGGACCGGGAUGGACUGACCUCUGGUGCACCAGUUGUUCUGCCAAGAGCAUGGCUGGGUAGCUGAGUCGGGAAGGGAUAAACGCUGAAAGCAUCUAAGCGUGAAGCCCCCCUCAAGAUGAGAUUUCCCAUAGCAUAAGCUAGUAAGACCCCUUGAAGAACACAAGGUUGAUAGGUCAGAGGUGGAAGUGCGGUAACGUAUGUAGCUGACUGAUACUAAUAGGUCGAGGGCUUGACC
This 1470-nucleotide ribosomal RNA is filed under the name metagenome. RNAcentral's name for it is "bacterial LSU rRNA". It matches the Rfam family "Bacterial large subunit ribosomal RNA", at positions 1443 to 2925 of the family's 2925-position model. The record is from RNAcentral.